This 461-nucleotide ribosomal RNA is filed under the name uncultured bacterium. RNAcentral's name for it is "partial 16S ribosomal RNA". It matches the Rfam family "Bacterial small subunit ribosomal RNA", at positions 28 to 506 of the family's 1533-position model. The record is from RNAcentral.
GACGAACGCUGGUGGCGUGCUUAACACAUGCAAGUCGAACGGAAAGGCCCUUCGGGGUACUCGAGUGGCGAACGGGUGAGUAACACGUGGGUGAUCUGCCCUGCACUUUGGGAUAAGCCUGGGAAACUGGGUCUAAUACCGAAUAGGACCACGCGCUUCAUGGUGUGUGGUGGAAAGCUUUUGCGGUGUGGGAUGGGCCCGCGGCCUAUCAGCUUGUUGGUGGGGUAAUGGCCUACCAAGGCGACGACGGGUAGCCGGCCUGAGAGGGUGACCGGCCACACUGGGACUGAGAUACGGCCCAGACUCCUACGGGAGGCAGCAGUGGGGAAUAUUGCACAAUGGGCGCAAGCCUGAUGCAGCGACGCCGCGUGAGGGAUGACGGCCUUCGGGUUGUAAACCUCUUUCAAUAGGGACGAAGCGCAAGUGACGGUACCUAUAGAAGAAGCACCGGCCAACUACGU